AUUUGUCCACCUGUGUGUGGGUGCCUGUGGAGUGCAGAAAAUGGACUUUGAUCCCACGGAGCAGGAGUUACAGGUGAUUGUUAACUGUCUGAUGUGGAUGCUGACAACUAAAUCCCUUCCUCUGGAAGAGCAGUAAGCUCUCACAACUGGGUUUCUAAGUGUUGUUGAGUCUGGUGAAAAUCCAACCCUCAGGACACACCAAAUUUUCUUAAGCAGAGCAACUUUAUUGAUUUGAACAGCAGACUGACUGGCCAGGGCCACAGAAAAGACUUGGGAGCUGAUACUGCAACCUGGAUUCUUUUGGUCUUCAGAUGAAAAUGUUGAACUCUCAACUCCACCUGCACCAUAACUGCCUGGAUGCUGCCAUGCUCCUGCCUUGAUGAUAAUGGACUGAACCUCU
This is a long non-coding RNA of Mus musculus (house mouse), 400 nucleotides long. RefSeq annotates it as predicted gene, 39489. The transcript is spliced from 3 exons. Lineage: Eukaryota; Metazoa; Chordata; Mammalia; Rodentia; Muridae. The record is from RefSeq and is a predicted model, not a curated record.